Molecule: ribosomal RNA, 253 nt
Filed under: uncultured bacterium
Lineage: Bacteria
Description: partial 16S ribosomal RNA
Rfam family: Bacterial small subunit ribosomal RNA
Source: RNAcentral
UACGUAGGGGGCAAGCGUUGUCCGGAUUUACUUGGCGUAAAGCGCGUGUAGGCGGGAACGUAAGUCCGGUGUGAAAGCCCCCCGCUCAACGGGGGAAGGUCGCUGGAAACUGCGUUUCUUGAGGGCGGCAGAGGGAAGUGGAAUUGCUGGUGUAGCGGUGAAAUGCGUAGAGAUCAGCAGGAACACCCGUGGCGAAGGCGGCUUCCUGGGCCGCGCCUGACGCUGAGACGCGAAAGCGUGGGGAGCGAACGGG